Molecule: Y RNA, 95 nt
Filed under: Microcebus murinus (gray mouse lemur)
Lineage: Eukaryota; Metazoa; Chordata; Mammalia; Primates; Cheirogaleidae
Description: Y RNA (ENSMICG00000044086.1)
Rfam family: Y RNA
About the family: Y RNAs are components of the Ro ribonucleoprotein particle (Ro RNP), in association with Ro60 and La proteins.
Source: Rfam by way of RNAcentral
GGCCGGUCCAAUGGUAGGAGGUUGUCAGAACUUACUAACAUUAGUGUCACUAAAGUUGGUAUAUCACCCUCCAUUGCUAGAUUUGACUGGCAAAA